Molecule: ribosomal RNA, 274 nt
Filed under: uncultured bacterium
Lineage: Bacteria
Description: partial 16S ribosomal RNA
Rfam family: Archaeal small subunit ribosomal RNA
Source: RNAcentral
AAACCAGCACCUCAAGUGGUCAGGAGGAUUAUUGGGCCUAAAGCAUCCGUAGCCUGUUCUGUAAGUUUUCGGUUAAAUCCAUUAGCUCAACUAGUGGGCUGCCGAAAAUACUGUAGAACUAGGGAGUGGGAGAGGUAGACGGUAUUCGGUAGGAAGGGGUAAAAUCCUUUGAUCUAUUGAGGACCACCUGUGGCGAAGGCGGUCUACCAGAACACGUUCGACGGUGAGGGAUGAAAGCUGGGGGAGCAAACCGGAUUAGAAACCCGGGUAGUCC